AUUGAACGCUGGCGGCAUGCCUUACACAUGCAAGUCGAACGGCAGCACGGGAGCUUGCUCCUGGUGGCGAGUGGCGAACGGGUGAGUAAUACAUCGGAACGUACCCAGUAGUGGGGGAUAACGCACCGAAAGGUGCGCUAAUACCGCAUACGACCUACGGGUGAAAGCGGGGGACCGUAAGGCCUCGCGCUCUUGGAGCGGCCGAUGUCUGAUUAGCUAGUUGGCGGGGUAAUAGCCAACCAAGGCGACGAUCAGUAGCUGGUCUGAGAGGACGAUCAGCCACACUGGGUCUGAGACACGGCCCAGACUCCUACGGGAGGCAGCAGUGGGGAAUUUUGGACAAUGGGGGCAACCCUGAUCCAGCAAUGCCGCGUGUGCGAAGAAGGCCUUCGGGUUGUAAAGCACUUUUGUCAGGGAAGAAAUCUUUCAGGCUAAUACCCUUGGAAGGAUGACGGUACCUGAAGAAUAAGCACCGGCUAACUACGUGCCAGCCGCCGCGGUAA
Molecule: ribosomal RNA, 503 nt
Filed under: uncultured bacterium
Lineage: Bacteria
Description: partial 16S ribosomal RNA
Rfam family: Bacterial small subunit ribosomal RNA
Source: RNAcentral